RNAcentral lists this ribosomal RNA (1402 nucleotides) under uncultured Bacteroidota bacterium. Its description in RNAcentral is "bacterial SSU rRNA". It matches the Rfam family "Bacterial small subunit ribosomal RNA". Lineage: Bacteria; Pseudomonadati; Bacteroidota. The record is from RNAcentral.
GAUGAACGCUAGCGGCAGGCUUAACACAUGCAAGUCGAGGGGCAGCAGCACUUUCGGGUGGCUGGCGACCGGCGCACGGGUGCGUAACGCGUGAGUAACAUACCUAUAUCAUUGGGAUAAUCCGGGGAAACCUGGUCUAAUACCGAAUAGUUUUGGGGGGUGGCAUCAUUCCACAAAUAAAAUUACGAUGGAUAUAGAUUGGCUCGCGUAACAUUAGCUAGAUGGUAGAGUAAUGGUUUACCAUGGCGACGAUGUUUAGGGGUUCUGAGAGGAAGGUCCCCCACACUGGAACUGAGACACGGUCCAGACUCCUACGGGAGGCAGCAGUGAGGAAUAUUGGUCAAUGGUCGGAAGACUGAACCAGCCAUGCCGCGUGCAGGAAGACGAUUCUAUGGAUUGUAAACUGCUUUUGUACGGGAGCAAUAAGUGUCACGAGUGACAUGAUGAGAGUACCGUACGAAUAAGCAUCGGCUAACUCCGUGCCAGCAGCCGCGGUAAUACGGAGGAUGCGAGCGUUAUCCGGAUUUAUUGGGUUUAAAGGGUGCGUAGGUGGGCUGAUCAGUCAGUGGUGAAAUCCCGGUGCUCAACACCGGAACUGCCGUUGAAACUGUCAGUCUUGAGUAUGAACGGGGUAGGCGGAAUUCGUAGUGUAGCGGUGAAAUGCAUAGAUAUUACGAAGAACACCGAUAGCGUAGGCAGCUUACCAGGAUUAGAUACCCUGGUAGUCCACACAGUAAACGAUGAAUACUAGGUGUUUGCGAUAUACCGUAAGCGCCCGAGCGAAAGCGUUAAGUAUUCCACCUGGGGAGUACGCCGGCAACGGUGAAACUCAAAGGAAUUGACGGGGGCCCGCACAAGCGGAGGAACAUGUGGUUUAAUUCGAUGAUACGCGAGGAACCUUACCCGGGCUCGAACGGCAAAUGAAUGAUCUGGAAACAGACAGUCCUUCGGGACAUUUGUCGAGGUGCUGCAUGGUUGUCGUCAGCUCGUGCCGUGAGGUGUCGGCUUAAGUGCCAUAACGAGCGCAACCCCUAUCGUUAGUUACCAUCAGGUUAUGCUGGGGACUCUAGCGAGACUGCCACCGUAAGGUGUGAGGAAGGUGGGGAUGACGUCAAAUCAGCACGGCCCUUACGUCCGGGGCGACACACGUGUUACAAUGGGGGGGACAGCAGGCAGCGACUUGGCGACAAGGAGCGAAUCCUAUAAACCCUCUCCCAGUUCGGAUCGAAGUCUGCAACCCGACUUCGUGAAGCUGGAUUCGCUAGUAAUCGCGCAUCAGCCAUGGCGCGGUGAAUACGUUCCCGGGCCUUGUACACACCGCCCGUCAAGCCAUGGAAGCCGGGGGGACCUGAAGUCCGUAACCGUUAAGGAGCGGCCUAGGGUAAAACCGGUAACUGGGGCU